GCGAACAGCUCCGUGCUGAGCUCGCUCUAAUGAAACACCAACAGGACUCCCAGUGUAAGGAGGUGGUGGAGAUGCUGGAGCAGGAGGGUCUAGCAGAGAUCAGCCAGAGCAGUGCCAGUGAGCAGGUGGCCUAUCUGCUGGUGGAGAGAGUCACUCUGAUGGAGAGACUGGAGGCUGUGGAAAGAAAACUUGACACCCAGACCCUCACCGGCAACCUCAGAGAGGUGCAUCUUCAGGAAGAGCUGGAUCAUAUGCGUCACACAUUGGAAGAGGAACUCAGGCAGCAAAAGGAAAACAUGAAUAAGGACCACAGUGAAGAGUUCAAUAGAGAAUGCACAGUGUGCCAGAGGCUGGAGAGGGAUCUGGAAGAGGCAUCGAGUCGUCUUGCUAUGGCACAUAAAGAGAUUCGCCACCUGACGGAUGAACUAGAUCUCGCUCGUAAGGUCCAAAACGUGUGUGUACCUGACCUGCAGAAAACUGGGGAGGAAGUUGAGCAGUUGAAACAGGAAGUGGACAAGCUUAAACAGUGUGAUAUGGUGGAGCUGCAGAAGGCCAAGGAACGCAAUGAAAGAUUGGAUAGUGACAUUUGUGUUCUAAGGGAUAGAGUUCGCUCCUUGGACACAGAGAGGAGGACUCUUCUUAAACUGGUUGAACAAUCAAAGCUGCACUCAGAUCAAGGGAUCAAAGUGACAUUAGAGCACAAUAAAAUUAAUUCUACACAGGGUGUCGGGAAUAACGUCAAUCCUGAUCCAUCACUGAAUGCAGAGGAUGAGAUACUCCACAAAAGGUGUCGGAGAGAGUCUGAAGAUAAGGACAGCCGUCUGCGAGAGCUGGAGAGGAGGUUGCAGAAGCAGCAGCGGGAACACGAGGAGCUGGUGGAGCGCAAUGAAGAGCUGGAGGCGCUGCUGGGAGAGGCGCAGAACACAGUGAAAGAGGAGCGGGAACGUCAUGAGUGUGUGAUAGAGGGGUUACAGAGAAAGGUGUGUUUUUAGCCAUCGACGUGGGG
RNAcentral lists this long non-coding RNA (1006 nucleotides) under Sinocyclocheilus anshuiensis. Its description in RNAcentral is "lncRNA (ENSSANG00000040604.1)". The record is from RNAcentral. Lineage: Eukaryota; Metazoa; Chordata; Actinopteri; Cypriniformes; Cyprinidae.